UAUAUUUGAAUCGGUGGUUCACUUUUUCUAAGUAAUGGGGAAGAGGACCGAAACUUGCCACUGAAAGACUCUAAUGAGACAAAAAUGGGUUGUCAAGAACGUAGAGGAUGUAGGAUGGGCAGUUCGUCAGAUUUAGUAUGGAUUGUACAUGGACGGUAGUUGGAGUCGGAAGCUCUCCCAGGGUUCUCUUAUCUGAUAUCUCUAGGGAAGAGGAUCAAGUUGGACCUUGUGAAUAUCUUGAUGCACUAUCUCUCUUCAAUACUUUAAGUGACAUGCGACAAAAGAAAAGAAAGAAAAAUCCAUGGACUGACCCCAUCAUCUCCACCCCGUAGGAACUGUAUGAUUACCCCAAGGACACCUUCGGUAUCUAGGGGUCACAGACUAACCAUAGAACCCUGUUCAAUAAGUGGAACGUAUUAGUUGUCAGCUCUCAAGUUAGGCAGGCAGGGUUGGAGAAGGGCAAUGACUUAUUCUUAAAACCAGCGUUCUUAAGAACAAAGAGUUGGGCAGAAAGAGGGGAAAGCCCUCUAUUUCUGGUUCUCUUGUAGUUGGAUCCUUCGGAACUAUAAGAAUCUUUAGUUAGAAUGGGAUUCCAGCUUAGCACCUUUUAAGUGAGAUUUUGAAAAGAGUUACUCUAUGGAAAGAAUAGUACGAUGAAAGUUGUAAGCUAUGUUCGGGGGGAGCUAUUAUCUAUCAUUAGCCUCUAUGGUAGAAUCGAUUAGGGGACCUGAGAGGCGGUGGUUUACCCUGCGAUGGAUAUCAGAAGUUCGAGUCCGCUCAUCUCCACCUCGUGAACUUAGCCUAUACAAAACUUUAUGAUAGCACCUAAUUUUUUAUAUUCGGAGGUUAGAUCUAUGAUUUAUCAUUCAUAGAUGUAGAUAAGAUCCAUCCGCUUAGCAGCACCUUAGGAUGACAUAGCCUUAAAAGUGAAGGGUGAGGUUCAAAUAAGGAAAGGCUUACGGUGGAUACCUAGGCACCCAGAGACGAGAAAGGGUGUAGUAAUCGACGAAAUGCUUCAAGGAGUUGAAAAUAAGCAUAGAUCCAGAGAUUCCCAAAUAGGGAAACCUUUUCAACUAUUGCUGAAUCCAUGGGCAGGUAAGAGACAACCUGGCAAACUAAAACAUCUUAGUAUCUAGAGAAAAAGAAAGCAAAAGAGAUUCCCGUAGUAGUGGUGAGCGAAAUAGGAGCAUCCUAAACCAUGAAAAUAGGGUUGUGAGAGAGAAAUAAUGCAAACAUUGGUGAGAGUCCAAUGCCUCGAAAACCUAAGGGUUCCUCCACAAGGUUCGUCCAGGGUAAGUUAGGUCCUAAGAUCAGGACAAAAGGCGUAUUCGAUGAACAACAGGUGAAUAUUCUUGUACUACCCCUUAUUAGUCCCAAGGGACAGAGGAGGUUAGGUUAGCCAAAAGAUAGUUAUCAAUUCAAGAAUUUAAGGUGUCCAUUCUCUUUUUUCAGGGUAAGAAGGGGUAGAGAAAAUUUCUCUAGACAAUGUUCGAAUACCAGGUGCUAUGGUGCUGAAGUAACCAAUUCCAUACUCCCAGGAAAAGCUCGAAUAACUUUAAAUAUGAGGGUACCUGUACACAAAAUUGACAUAGGUAGGUAGGUAUAUAAUACCUAGGCGAGUGAGACAACUCUCUCUAAGGAACUCAAAAAAAUAGCCCUAUAACUUUAGGAGAAGAGAUGUCUCUUCACAUCACAAAGGGGGUCACAGUGACUAGGCACGGGAGAAUGUUCACCAAAAACACAGGUCUUCGUAAAGUCAUAACACCAUGUAUGGGGGGAUGAUGCCUGCCCAAUGCCGGAAGGUCAAGGAAGUUGGUGACCUGAUGACAGGGGAGCCGGCGACCUAAGCCUCGAUAAAUGACAGUCGUAACUAUAAUGGUCCUAAGGUAGCAAAAUUCCUUGUUAGGUAAGUUCUGAAUGGAAUGAAAGAUGUAAUAAUCUGGGCACUGCCUCAGAGAGAGGCUCGAUGAAAUAGACAUAUCUGUGAAGAUGCAAACUAGCUGCACCUAGACAGGAAGACGAUAUAAAGUUUCACUGUUCCCUAGGAUUGGCUUUGGUCCUUUCCUGUGCAGCUUAGGUGAAAGGCGAAGAAGGUCGUCUUCCGGGGAGCCUGAGCCAUCAGUAAGAUACCACUUUGGAAGGGCUAGAAUUCUAACUUUGUGUAAGGACCUGCGGGCCAAAGGACAGUCUCAGGUACACAGUUUCUAUGGGGCGUAGGACUCCCAAAAGGUAAUAUAGGCAUCCAAAGGUUUUUUCGAGCCGGACGAAGAUUGACCCUCGAGUGCAAAGGCAGAAGAGAGCUUGACUGCAAGACCCACCCGUCGAGCAGGGAUGAAAGUCAGCCUUAGUGAUCCGUCGGUGCUGAGUGGAAGGUUCGUCACUCAACGGAUAAAAGUUACUCUAGGGAUAACAGGUUGAUCUUCCCCAACAUCUCACAUCGAUGGAAAGGUUUGGCACCUCGAUGUCGACUCUUCGCCACCUGGGACUAUAGUAUGUUCCAAGGGUUGGGUUGUUCGCCCAUUAAAGCGGUACGUAAGUUGGCUUUAGAACGUUGUGAAACUGUUUGAUCCAUAUUCGGUGUGGGCGUUAGAGCAUUGCAAGGACCUUUGCCUAGUAAGAGAGGAUCGAGAAGGACGCACUUCUGGUGUACCAGUUAUCAUGCCCAUGAUAAACGUUGGGUAGCCAAGUGCGGAACAGAUAACUACUGAAAGCAUCUAAGUAGUAAGCCUACCCCAAGAUAAGUGGUCGCCUAUUCUGACUUCCCCAGAGCUUCUGGUAGCACAGCCGAGACAGGGACAGGUUCUCUGCCCCUGCGGGGAUGGAGCGACAAAAGCUUUUUUGAGAANUAAAAAAACUGACCACUUGUGGUCGGUUUUAUUUAA
Molecule: ribosomal RNA, 2882 nt
Filed under: Capsicum baccatum
Lineage: Eukaryota; Viridiplantae; Streptophyta; Magnoliopsida; Solanales; Solanaceae
Description: bacterial LSU rRNA
Rfam family: Bacterial large subunit ribosomal RNA (bases 939-2882)
Source: RNAcentral